Molecule: ribosomal RNA, 301 nt
Filed under: uncultured bacterium
Lineage: Bacteria
Description: partial 16S ribosomal RNA
Rfam family: Bacterial small subunit ribosomal RNA
Source: RNAcentral
CAGCCGCCGCGGUAAUACGUAGGUGGCAAGCGUUGUCCGGAAUUAUUGGGCGUAAAGGGCUCGCAGGCGGUUUCCUAAGUCUGAUGUGAAAGCCCCCGGCUCAACUGGGGAGGGUCAUUGGAAACUGGGAAACUUGAGUGCAGAAGAGGAGAGUGGGAUUCCACGUGAAGCGGUGAAAUGCGUAGAGAUGUGGAGGAACACCAGUGGCGAAGGCGACUCUCUGGUCUGUAACUGACGCUGAGGAGCGAAAGCGUGGGGAGCGAACAGGAUUAGAUACCCCCGUAGUCCCUGUCUCUUAUAC